CCAAGGAGUCUAACAUGUGCGCGAGUCAUUGGGUACUGCGAAACCCAAAGGCGCAAUGAAAGUGAAUGCAGCCUCGGGUUUGCACAGGUAGGAUCGUCGGCGCCCCGCCGGCGCGCACUACCGGCCCGUCCCGUCUGCAUGCAGUGGGGCGGAGCGAGAGCGUACACGUUGGGACCCGAAAGAUGGUGAACUAUGCCUGAGUAGGAUGAAGCCAGAGGAAACUCUGGUGGAGGUCCGCAGCGCUUCUGACGUGCAAAUCGAUCGUCGAACUUGGGUAUAGGGGCGAAAGACUAAUCGAACCAUUUA
This 306-nucleotide ribosomal RNA is filed under the name Stenoplax alata. RNAcentral describes it as "eukaryotic LSU rRNA". It matches the Rfam family "Eukaryotic large subunit ribosomal RNA", at positions 666 to 946 of the family's 3401-position model. The record is from RNAcentral. Lineage: Eukaryota; Metazoa; Mollusca; Polyplacophora; Chitonida; Ischnochitonidae.